CCCCGGACUCACGUCCGGGGCUACCACUUGUCGUCGCGUUGCGACU
Small RNA from Rhodopirellula maiorica SM1, 46 nucleotides. It matches the Rfam family "Acido-Lenti-1 RNA". Lineage: Bacteria; Pseudomonadati; Planctomycetota; Planctomycetia; Pirellulales; Pirellulaceae. The record is from Rfam.